RNAcentral lists this ribosomal RNA (959 nucleotides) under uncultured bacterium. RNAcentral describes it as "bacterial SSU rRNA". It matches the Rfam family "Bacterial small subunit ribosomal RNA", at positions 528 to 1478 of the family's 1533-position model. The record is from RNAcentral.
CCCGGUGUCAGCGUUAUUCGGAAUUAUUGGGCGUAAGGGCGCGUAGGCGGUCCUGUUAGUCAGAUGUGAAAGCCCGGGGACUCAACCCCGGAAAGUGCAUUUGAAACGGCAGGACUUGUAGUAUGGGAGAGGGAAGUGGAAUUCCUGGCUGUAGAGGUGAAAUUCGUAGAUAUCUGGAGGAACAUCUGUGGCGAAGGCGACUUCCUGGACCAAUACUGACGCUGAGGCGCGAAGGCGUGGGUAGCAAACAGGAUUAGAUACCCUGGUAGUCCACGCAGUAAACGGUGAUCACUAGGUGUAGCGGGUAUUGACCCCUGCUGUGCCGGAGUUAACGCAUUAAGUGAUCCGCCUGGGGAGUACGAUCGCAAGAUUAAAACUCAAAGGAAUUGACGGGGGCCCGCACAAGCGGUGGAGCAUGUGGUUUAAUUCGACGCAACGCGAAGAACCUUACCUGGAUUUGACAUCCCGGGAAUCCCUUAGAAAUUUGGGAGUGCCCUUCGAGGAACCUGGAGACAGGUGCUGCAUGGCUGUCGUCAGCUCGUGUCGUGAGAUGUUGGGUUAAGUCCCGCAACGAGCGCAACCCUUAUCUUUAGUUACCAGCAUUUCGGAUGGGGACUCUAGAGAUACUGCCCCGGUCAACGGGGAGGAAGGUGGGGAUGACGUCAAGUCCUCAUGGCCUUUAUGUCCAGGGCUACACACGUGCUACAAUGGGCGGAACAAAGGGUAGCAAUACCGCGAGGUGGAGCUAAUCUCAAAAAGCCGUCCCAAGUUCGGAUUGGAGUCUGCAACUCGACUCCAUGAAGCUGGAAUCGCUAGUAAUACGCGGAUCAGCAUGCCGCGGUGAAUACGUUACCCGGGCCUUGUACACACCGCCCGUCACACCAUGAGAGUUGGUUGUACCAGAAGUUGUUGGGCUAACCUUUAGAGGAGGCAGGCACCUAAGUAUGGCUGAUAAUGGG